CCUACGGGGGGCAGCAGUAGGGAAUAUUGCUCAAUGGGGGAAACUCUGAAGCAGCAACGCCGCGUGGAGGAGGAAGGUUUUCGGAUUGUAAACCUCUUUUGUUAGAGAAGAAAAAGACGGUAUGUAACGAAUAAGCACCGGCUAAUUCCGUGCCAGCAGCCGCGGUAAUACGGAGGGUGCAAGCGUUACUCGGAAUGACUGGGCGUAAAGCGCGCGUAGGCGGGAUAGCAAGUCAGAUGUGAAAUCCUAUGGCUUAACCAGAGAACUGCAGUUGAAACUGUUAGUCUAGAGUAUGGGAGAGGUGGGUGGAAUUCGUGGUGUAGAGGUGAAAUGCGUAGAUAUCAAGAGGAAUACUCAUUGCGAAGGCGGCCCUCUGGACUGUAACUGACGCUGAUGCGCGAAAGCGUGGGGAGCAAACAGGAUUAGAUACCCUAGUAGUC
Molecule: ribosomal RNA, 440 nt
Filed under: uncultured bacterium
Lineage: Bacteria
Description: partial 16S ribosomal RNA
Rfam family: Bacterial small subunit ribosomal RNA
Source: RNAcentral